RNAcentral lists this ribosomal RNA (113 nucleotides) under Dunaliella viridis. RNAcentral's name for it is "small subunit ribosomal RNA". Lineage: Eukaryota; Viridiplantae; Chlorophyta; Chlorophyceae; Chlamydomonadales; Dunaliellaceae. The record is from RNAcentral.
AUAUCACGUAAGGAAGAACAUGAGGGUUUGAUUCCAUGCUCCGUAAGCAUGCGAUACUAAACGGACUGACACAUGCAAGGGUAUAACGUACCCGUAAAGGUGAGGAUCAUGCG